Molecule: ribosomal RNA, 274 nt
Filed under: uncultured bacterium
Lineage: Bacteria
Description: partial 16S ribosomal RNA
Rfam family: Bacterial small subunit ribosomal RNA
Source: RNAcentral
AUACGGAGGGUGCAAGCGUUAUUCGGAAUCAUUGGGUUUAAAGGGUCCGUAGGCGGACUAAUAAGUCAGGGGUGAAAUCCCACAGCUUAACUGUGGAACUGCCUUUGAUACUGUUAGUCUUGAGUUAUAUGGAAGUAGAUAGAAUGUGUAGUGUAGCGGUGAAAUGCUUAGAGAUUACACAGAAUACCGAUUGCGAAGGCAGUCUACUACAUAUAUACUGACGCUAAUGGACGAAAGCGUGGGGAGCGAACAGGAUUAGAUACCCUAGUAGUCC